RNAcentral lists this transfer RNA (72 nucleotides) under Actinomycetospora corticicola. RNAcentral describes it as "tRNA-Gln". It matches the Rfam family "tRNA". From Rfam's summary of the family: Transfer RNA (tRNA) molecules are approximately 80 nucleotides in length. Their secondary structure includes four short double-helical elements and three loops (D, anti-codon, and T loops). Further hydrogen bonds mediate the characteristic L-shaped molecular structure. tRNAs have two regions of fundamental functional importance: the anti-codon, which is responsible for specific mRNA codon recognition, and the 3' end, to which the tRNAs corresponding amino acid is attached (by aminoacyl-tRNA synthetases). tRNAs cope with the degeneracy of the genetic code in two manners: having more than one tRNA (with a specific anti-codon) for a particular amino acid; and 'wobble' base-pairing, i.e. permitting non-standard base-pairing at the 3rd anti-codon position. RNAcentral also lists the same sequence under 6 other names. The record is from RNAcentral. Lineage: Bacteria; Bacillati; Actinomycetota; Actinomycetes; Pseudonocardiales; Pseudonocardiaceae.
UCCGCCGUGGUGUAAGGGCAACACCUCGGAUUUUGGUUCCGAUGAUCCUGGUUCGAAUCCAGGCGGCGGAGC